Molecule: ribosomal RNA, 423 nt
Filed under: uncultured bacterium
Lineage: Bacteria
Description: bacterial SSU rRNA
Rfam family: Bacterial small subunit ribosomal RNA
Source: RNAcentral
UGGGGAAUAUUGGGGCAAUGGGGGAAAGCCCUGACCCAGCAACGCCGCGUGAAGGAAGAAGGCUUCGGGUUGUUAAACAUUCUUUUAUCCACGGGAGCGAAGGACGUGACGGUACCUGGAGAAAAAGCAACGGCUAACUACGUGCCAGCAGCCGCGGUAAUACGUAGGUUGCAAGCGUUGUCCGGAUUUACUGGGUGUAAAGGGCGUGUAGGCGGAGAAGCAAGUUGGGAGUGAAAUCCAUGGGCUCAACCCAUGAACUGCUCUCAAAACUGUUUCCCUUGAGUAUCGGAGAGGCAAGCGGAAUUCCUAGUGUAGCGGUGAAAUGCGUAGAUAUUAGGAGGAACACCAGUGGCGAAGGCGGCUUGCUGGACGACAACUGACGCUGAGGCGCGAAAGCGUGGGGAGCAAACAGGAUUAGAUACC